This 1372-nucleotide ribosomal RNA is filed under the name uncultured bacterium. Its description in RNAcentral is "bacterial SSU rRNA". It matches the Rfam family "Bacterial small subunit ribosomal RNA", at positions 28 to 1381 of the family's 1533-position model. The record is from RNAcentral.
GAUGAACGCUGGCGGCGUGCCUAAUACAUGCAAGUCGAGCGAACGGACGAGAAGCUUGCUUCUCUGAUGUUAGCGGCGGACGGGUGAGUAACACGUGGAUAACCUACCUAUAAGACUGGGAUAACUUCGGGAAACCGGAGCUAAUACCGGAUAAUAUUUUGAACCGCAUGGUUCAAAAGUGAAAGACGGUCUUGCUGUCACUUAUAGAUGGAUCCGCGCUGCAUUAGCUAGUUGGUAAGGUAACGGCUUACCAAGGCAACGAUGCAUAGCCGACCUGAGAGGGUGAUCGGCCACACUGGAACUGAGACACGGUCCAGACUCCUACGGGAGGCAGCAGUAGGGAAUCUUCCGCAAUGGGCGAAAGCCUGACGGAGCAACGCCGCGUGAGUGAUGAAGGUCUUCGGAUCGUAAAACUCUGUUAUUAGGGAAGAACAUAUGUGUAAGUAACUGUGCACAUCUUGACGGUACCUAAUCAGAAAGCCACGGCUAACUACGUGCCAGCAGCCGCGGUAAUACGUAGGUGGCAAGCGUUAUCCGGAAUUAUUGGGCGUAAAGCGCGCGUAGGCGGUUUUUUAAGUCUGAUGUGAAAGCCCACGGCUCAACCGUGGAGGGUCAUUGGAAACUGGAAAACUUGAGUGCAGAAGAGGAAAGUGGAAUUCCAUGUGUAGCGGUGAAAUGCGCAGAGAUAUGGAGGAACACCAGUGGCGAAGGCGACUUUCUGGUCUGUAACUGACGCUGAUGUGCGAAAGCGUGGGGAUCAAACAGGAUUAGAUACCCUGGUAGUCCACGCCGUAAACGAUGAGUGCUAAGUGUUAGGGGGUUUCCGCCCCUUAGUGCUGCAGCUAACGCAUUAAGCACUCCGCCUGGGGAGUACGACCGCAAGGUUGAAACUCAAAGGAAUUGACGGGGACCCGCACAAGCGGUGGAGCAUGUGGUUUAAUUCGAAGCAACGCGAAGAACCUUACCAAAUCUUGACAUCCUUUGACAACUCCAGAGAUAGAGCCUUCCCCUUCGGGGGACAAAGUGACAGGUGGUGCAUGGUUGUCGUCAGCUCGUGUCGUGAGAUGUUGGGUUAAGUCCCGCAACGAGCGCAACCCUUAAGCUUAGUUGCCAUCAUUAAGUUGGGCACUCUAAGUUGACUGCCGGUGACAAACCGGAGGAAGGUGGGGAUGACGUCAAAUCAUCAUGCCCCUUAUGGUUUGGGCUACACACGUGCUACAAUGGACAAUACAAAGGGCAGCGAAACCGCGAGGUCAAGCAAAUCCCAUAAAGUUGUUCUCAGUUCGGAUUGUAGUCUGCAACUCGACUACAUGAAGCUGGAAUCGCUAGUAAUCGUAGAUCAGCAUGCUACGGUGAAUACGUUCCCGGGUCU